ACUCCUACGGGAGGCAGCAGCAGGGAAUCUUGCGCAAUGGGCGAAAGCCUGACGCAGCGACACCGCGUGGGGGAAGAAGGCUUUCGGGUUGUAAACCCCUUUUCUCGGGGAAGAGUAAGGACGGUACCCGAGGAAUAAGCCUCGGCUAACUACGUGCCAGCAGCCGCGGUAAGACGUAGGAGGCGAGCGUUGUCCGGAUUUACUGGGCGUAAAGGGCGAGUAGGCGGCCCGCCAAGUCUCAUGUGAAAUCUCUCGGCUCAACUGGGAGGGGUCAUGGGAAACUGGCGGGCUCGAGGGCAGUAGAGGAGAGUGGAAUUCCCGGAGUAGCGGUGAAAUGCGUAGAUACCGGGAGGAACACCCGAGGCGAAGGCGACUCUCUGGGCUGCACCUGACGCUGAGGCGCGAGAGCAUGGGGAGCGAACCGGAUUAGAUACCCGGGUAGUCCAUGCCCUAAACGAUGGAUACUAGGCAUUGGGGGUAUCGACCCCCCCUGUGCCGUAGCUAACGCGAUAAGUAUCCCGCCUGGGGAGUACGGCCGCAAGGCUAAAACUCAAAGGAAUUGACGGGCCCCCGCACAAGCAGCGGAGCGUGUUCUUUAAUUCGAUGACAAGCGAAGAACCUUACCAGGGCUUGACAUGCUUCUGUAAGCCGCCGAAAGGCGGGCCUCCUUCGGGACAGAUGCACAGAUGUUGCAUGGCUGUCGUCAGCUCGUGUCGUGAGAU
Molecule: ribosomal RNA, 722 nt
Filed under: uncultured endophytic bacterium
Lineage: Bacteria
Description: bacterial SSU rRNA
Rfam family: Bacterial small subunit ribosomal RNA
Source: RNAcentral